This 405-nucleotide ribosomal RNA is filed under the name Testudodinium testudo. Its description in RNAcentral is "bacterial SSU rRNA". It matches the Rfam family "Bacterial small subunit ribosomal RNA", at positions 496 to 903 of the family's 1533-position model. Lineage: Eukaryota; Dinophyceae; Gymnodiniales; Gymnodiniaceae. The record is from RNAcentral.
GCUAACUCCGUGCCAGCAGCCGCGGUAAUACGGAGGAUCCAAGCGUUAUCCGGAAUCAUUGGGUUUAAAGGGUCCGUAGGCGGACUAUUAAGUCAGGGGUGAAAGUCUGCAGCUCAACUGUAGAAUUGCCUUUGAUACUGGUAGUCUUGAGUUAUGGUGAAGUGGCUAGAAUAUGUAGUGUAGCGGUGAAAUGCAUAGAUAUUACAUAGAAUACCGAUUGCGAAGGCAGGUCACUAACCAUAUACUGACGCUGAUGGACGAAAGCGUGGGGAGCGAACAGGAUUAGAUACCCUGGUAGUCCACGCCGUAAACGAUGGAUACUAGCUGUUCGGACUUCGGUCUGAGCGGCCAAGCGAAAGUGAUAAGUAUCCCACCUGGGGAGUACGUUCGCAAGAAUGAAACUCA